Molecule: ribosomal RNA, 218 nt
Filed under: uncultured bacterium
Lineage: Bacteria
Description: partial 16S ribosomal RNA
Rfam family: Bacterial small subunit ribosomal RNA
Source: RNAcentral
CCCCUGACUUCGGUUGGACGGGUGAGCGGCGGACGGGUUAGUAACGCGUGGGAACAUACCCAGCUCUGCGGAAUAGCCACUGGAAACGGUGAGUAAUACCGCAUACGCCCUUCGGGGGAAAGAUUUAUCGGUGAAGGAUUGGCCCGCGUUAGAUUAGAUAGUUGGUGGGGUAACGGCCUACCAAGUCUACGAUCUAUAGCUGGUUUUAGAGGAUGAUC